This 515-nucleotide ribosomal RNA is filed under the name uncultured bacterium. RNAcentral describes it as "partial 16S ribosomal RNA". It matches the Rfam family "Bacterial small subunit ribosomal RNA", at positions 28 to 523 of the family's 1533-position model. The record is from RNAcentral.
GAUGAACGCUGGCGGCGUGCCUAAUACAUGCAAGUCGAGCGAAUGGAUUAAGAGCUUGCUCUUAUGAAGUUAGCGGCGGACGGGUGAGUAACACGUGAGUAACCUGCCCAUAAGACUGGGAUAACUCCGGGAAACCGGGACUAAUACCGGAUAAUAUUUUGAACUGCAUGGUUCAAAAUUGAAAGGCGGCUUCGGCUGUCACUUAUGGAUGGACCCGCGUCGCAUUAGCUAGUUGGUGAGGUAACGGCUCACCAAGGCAACGAUGCGUAGCCGACCUGAGAGGGUGAUCGGCCACACUGGGACUGUGACACGGCCCAGACUCCUACGGGAGGUAGCAGUAGGGAAUCUUCCGCAAUGGACGAAAGUCUGACGGAGCAACGCCGCGUGAGUGAUGAAGGCUUUCGGGUCGUAAAACUCUGUUGUUAGGGAAGAACAAGUGCUAGUUGAAUAAGCUGGCACCUUGACGGUACCUAACCAGAAAGCCACGGCUAACUACGUGCCAGCAGCCACUGUAA